This is a non-coding RNA of Schistosoma mattheei, 46 nucleotides long. The record is from Rfam. NCBI's taxonomy places the organism in Eukaryota, Metazoa, Platyhelminthes, Trematoda, Strigeidida, Schistosomatidae.
GCACUGAUGAGGAGUCCCACAAUAGGACGAAAUGGCCGUGCAGUGC